GGACUUCAACAGUAUGUUCAAACGUGCAACAUCAAAGUUCCAAAAGAAUACCGACGUUUGGAUAAUUCUGUCGCUUCAGGAAGUCAACUAAAUGACGAGCAGCAGCAGGAAAACACCCAAUCCCAUCAGCAAACGGGGCAGUCACAAAUUGUUUCUGCAGGAGCAAAUCCAACGGACAACACAGAGGUUGAAACGGAAGUAACGAUCGAGUCAAAGGAAUUCCCGGAGAAUGAUGUUAAAGGUGAAACACACAAUCAAAUUAAAAGGUUAGCAAAUCUGGGAUUUUUUGAAAGUGAAUUAGAUGGACGUGUCACCAGACAAAACGCAGACAAUGUUUGUGUCCUAGUCAUUCACUACGAGUUCAAAAACGAUCCUAAAUUUAUCCGAAAUGGAGACACCUGUGACGUAGAAAACCUCAAGACUUCCUUCGGGGAAAACCGGAAUUGCAAUUUCCGUAACAUGUCACCGAACAAAGAGACUUUACUCCAACUUCUUGGCGAUCAAGAAGGGCUUUUGCAGCUU
Cloeon dipterum is the source of this 522-nucleotide long non-coding RNA. RefSeq lists it as uncharacterized. The record is from RefSeq and is a predicted model, not a curated record. NCBI's taxonomy places the organism in Eukaryota, Metazoa, Arthropoda, Insecta, Ephemeroptera, Baetidae. The transcript has 4 exons.